RNAcentral lists this ribosomal RNA (495 nucleotides) under uncultured bacterium. Its description in RNAcentral is "partial 16S ribosomal RNA". It matches the Rfam family "Bacterial small subunit ribosomal RNA", at positions 28 to 507 of the family's 1533-position model. The record is from RNAcentral.
GACGAACGCUGGCGGCGUGCCUAAUACAUGCAAGUAGAACGCUGAAGGAGGAGCUUGCUUCUCUGGAUGAGUUGCGAACGGGUGAGUAACGCGUAGGUAACCUGCCUGGUAGCGGGGGAUAACUAUUGGAAACGAUAGCUAAUACCGCAUAAUAGUAGAUGUUGCAUGACAUUUGCUUAAAAGGUGCAAUUGCAUCACUACCAGAUGGACCUGCGUUGUAUUAGCUAGUUGGUGGGGUAACGGCUCACCAAGGCGACGAUACAUAGCCGACCUGAGAGGGUGAUCGGCCACACUGGGACUGAGACACGGCCCAGGCUCCUACGGGAGGCAGCAGUAGGGAAUCUUCGGCAAUGGACGGAAGUCUGACCGAGCAACGCCGCGUGAGUGAAGAAGGUUUUCGGAUCGUAAAGCUCUGUUGUAAGAGAAGAACGAGUGUGAGAGUGGAAAGUUCACACUGUGACGGUAUCUUACCAGAAAGGGACGGCUAACUACGUG